Molecule: ribosomal RNA, 433 nt
Filed under: uncultured bacterium
Lineage: Bacteria
Description: partial 16S ribosomal RNA
Rfam family: Bacterial small subunit ribosomal RNA
Source: RNAcentral
AACGAACGCUGGCGGCAUGCCUAACACAUGCAAGUCGAACGAGACCUUCGGGUCUAGUGGCGCACGGGUGCGUAACGCGUGGGAACCUACCCUUAGGUUCGGAAUAACUCCCCGAAAGGUAUGCUAAUACCGGAUAAUGUCUUCGGACCAAAGAUUUAUCGCCUUUGGAUGGGCCCGCGUUGGAUUAGCUAGUUGGUAGGGUAAAAGCAUGCCAAGGCGAGGAUCCAUAGCUGGUCUGAGAGGAUGAUCAGGCACACUGGGACUGAGACACGGCCCAGACUGCUACGGGAGGCAGCAGUGGGGAGUAUUGGACAAUGGGCGAAAGCCUGAUCCAGCAAUGCCGCGUGAGUGAUGAAGGGCUUAGGGUUGUAAAGCUCUUUUACACGGGAUGAUAAUGACAGUACCGGGAGAAUAAGCUCCGGCUAACUCCGUG